RNAcentral lists this non-coding RNA (74 nucleotides) under Polarella glacialis. The record is from RNAcentral. Lineage: Eukaryota; Dinophyceae; Suessiales; Suessiaceae.
CCGCAACUGCACGGCCAUUAAACUAAGGAAGAAUAAGAAAAAAAGGAAUAAGGGAAAAAGGGCCAUGCAUUUCA